This is a non-coding RNA of Paramuricea clavata, 317 nucleotides long. The record is from the annotation of a GenBank genome assembly. NCBI's taxonomy places the organism in Eukaryota, Metazoa, Cnidaria, Anthozoa, Malacalcyonacea, Plexauridae.
GGAUACAUGUCUUGCGUGACUAAGAGUGGGGAUACAUCAUACAUGUCUUGCGUGACUGGGAGUGGGGAUACAUGUCUUGUGCGACUGAGAGUGGGGAUACAUUGGGAUACAUGUCUUGCGCGAUUGCGAGUGGGGAUGCAUGUCUUGCGCGACUGAGAGUGGGGAUACAUGUCUUGCGUGACUGAGAGUGGGAAUACAUGUCUUGCGUAACUGAGAGUGGGGAUACAUGUCUUGCGCGACUGAGAGUGGGGAUACAUGUCUUGCGUGACUGAGAGUGGGGACACAUCAUACAUGUCUUGCGUGACUGGGAGUGGGGA